Molecule: long non-coding RNA, 2401 nt
Organism: Anthonomus grandis grandis
Lineage: Eukaryota; Metazoa; Arthropoda; Insecta; Coleoptera; Curculionidae
Exons: 2
Source: RefSeq, a predicted model, not a curated record
UUCUUUCUUAAUUAUGAAAACUAGAUAUAGAUGACUCUGUUGGUCAGAUUAGUUUGAAUAGCGGUUAUCAUAGUUUUUAGAUCGUUUUGUCUAUUGUGUUGUAACGGUGCUUUUUAGAUGUUAUUGUUUUGAACCUAAGUGUAUUAUUUGUUAUCUUACGAUAAGAUUUACUCGCUUAAUUUUAACUGUACCGUUCUAUAUGUGCUUUUGUUUUGUUUUGACAAAUCUCGUUUUUAACAAUGUAAGUACGCUUUAAAAUUCGAUUUUAUUCAGCAUUUUACCAAUUUUUGAUAAGCGUAGUAUCUAUGUAAAUUGUGUCUUUUACUUUUAGUCCUCGACCUGAUGAUGCGAUGAUAUUGUAAUCGCGAAACCGGUCGUCAUAAUAAAAGGAAUUUCUGGUGAAAUAAGACCUUUAUUUUCUACUGUGUUUGCUAGCAAAUACCUAUAGAAAUUAUAUGUUGAUAAAGAUCGUCUGUGUACGGAUUUCAAGAAAACUUGUUUACAUCGUUCUGGUAAAACUAAAUUUAAGUGUGCUACUAUUCCUUUGUCAUUGGUGAUGAAAAAUAAAAAAAAGCUUUACGAACGAGAAACGAAGGUAAAGCAAGAUAUAUUUUUAUCCCGAAAAAUAACGCCUUAUGAUGCACAAGGAAAGGGAAACUAUGCGGCAAAAUCAAAUGUCAAGAAUAGGAAUAUGAGCUGCCAGUAACACUUAUUUUCAAAGAAAAAACGUUUGAUUGUAGUGUGUAAACAAUUUUUUAUUAUUGCUUUUGAAAUUACAAAAAGAAGAUUAGAGAACCUGUGUAAAACAUUACAUAAAGGAAAAACGACGGCAGAAAACCGAGGUGGAAAUAGGUAUGGUAAUCGCAACGAAAACAAAAAACAAAGCCUUCGUUUAUUUUUAAAUAAAAUGCUUGCACAAGAAAGUCAUUAUGGUCGAGAAAAGUCAAAAAGGAUUUACUUGUCAUCACAAUUAAAUGCAAAGAAAUUAUGGCAACUUUAUAAUAGUUCUGUGACGGAUGAUUUGAAAGUUAAAAAAACAAUGUUUUAUAAAAUUUUUAUAGGAGCAUUCAAUAUCGGAUUUGCAUCUCCAGCUACGGAUGCUUGCAAUGUCUGCGUGUUAUGGCGUAAUAAAAUAAAAAAUGAGAAAGAUAAGGCCAAAAAGCACCAGUUAAUAACAGAACAGAGCAUACAUAAACUCCGUGCAAAUGCAUUUUACGACUAUGUAAGAAAAAAAGAGGACAACAGUCAUUCUGUAUGUUUUGAUCUACAACAGGUUCAAUGUUUGCCUAGGACCCCCAUACAAGAUGCCUUUUAUGCCAGGCAGCUCAGUUUAUACAAUUUUUGUCUUGUACCUUUAGAUUCAAAAGAUCCUGUUUUUUACUCAUGGGAUGAGUCACAAUCAGUAAGAGACUAUUUAAAGAAAUUAAUACUAGAAGCUGAUGUAUUUCACCUAAGACUGUUUUGCGAUGGUUGCGGAGGGCAAAACAAGAAUAGCCACAUUAUACACAUGCUCCUGUUCUACCUUUUGAAUGACUCCCCAAGACAUGUCUGUUUUUGAAGGUGGUAGACAAUGGUACAGUGAAAACAUCUUGUCGGAUAACGGUUGGAGAUACUUACCAACCGAAACGUCGUGUUACAUUAAAUAAAUAAGACAAUGCAAGUCCGCCAAGAUGUUUUUCCCCAAGACAUCUUAAGGACAUAACAUUAUUUUUUCCAGUACGAGAACACAGUUUUCUACCAGCAGACCGGGUUUUCGGUUGACUGGAGAAAGAAAUUAGAAAGCAUGUUGUAACCACCAAAGAGGAAAAUAAUGACAUUUUUAAAAAAUUUGGCACACUAAGAUUAUUGGGGCACGAUUGGAUUCUAAAAAAUGUAAAAAGCUUGGAGGAAUAUUAUAAAAAAGUGGAUAAAAUCCAGAAAUUUAAACGAAUGCUUUUAAAAAAAAAAAAAGGUUCGAGGUCAUUACACCGUUGAUUUAAAAUGCUAUGAGAACUAUAGAUUUGAGAAUCCGUUGGAAAAACCUGUAACAAUUCUUAAAAAGGGAAAGAGGCACCCUUUGUCAGGGGAUAAUUUGAAUUUGGGGUUACGUUCAUUAAGCGAGAACAAAAAAAGGACAUAAAAAAACUUGCUGAACAAAGAGUUUGGUGAUGAGUGGUUUAAUUUGGAAGAACUACAGUGGUACAAAAAAUUCAUAAUUCAUGAUCCAAAUAGUGCUUCCGAGGCACAAGCAAACCCCGAAAUGGAAAAUAUGUGUGAUUGUCUUACAGAUGAUAUAGGUGAAAUAAAAGUUAACAAAUUUUCAACUUCUGAUCACUAUUAUUUUGUUGUUUCGACCUAGAAUUUGUGUUUUGUUUAUUUUUGAUAGCGUCUAAGACAUUUGUAAUAAAAAAUAUUAAAGAUC